AAAGGAAUAGACGGGGGCCCGCACAAGCAGUGGAGUAUGUGGUUUAAUUCGAAGCAACGCGAAGAACCUUACCAGGUCUUGACAUCGGAUGCAUAACCUAGAGAUAGGCGAAGUUCCUUCGGGAACAUCCAGACAGGUGGUGCAUGGUUGUCGUCAGCUCGUGUCGUGAGAUGUUGGGUUAAGUCCCGCAACGAGCGCAACCCUUACUAAUAGUUGCUACGCAAGAGCACUCUAUUGGGACUGCCGUUGACAAAACGGAGGAAGGUGGGGAUGACGUCAAAUCAUCAUGCCCCUUAUGACCUGGGCUACACACGUACUACAAUGGCCGAUAACAAAGGGGUGCAAAGGAGCGAUCCGGAGCAAAUCCUCAAAAUCGGUCUCAGUUCGGAUUGUAGGCUGCAACCCGCCUACAUGAAGUCGGAAUUGCUAGUAAUCGCGGAUCAGCAUGCCGCGGUGAAUACGUUCCCGGGCCUUGUACACACCGCCCGU
This 489-nucleotide ribosomal RNA is filed under the name uncultured bacterium. RNAcentral describes it as "bacterial SSU rRNA". It matches the Rfam family "Bacterial small subunit ribosomal RNA", at positions 903 to 1397 of the family's 1533-position model. The record is from RNAcentral.